AACGAACGCUGGCGGCAGGCUUAACACAUGCAAGUCGAACGCCCCGCAAGGGGAGUGGCAGACGGGUGAGUAACGCGUGGGAACAUACCCUUUUCUACGGAAUAGCUCUGGGAAACUGGAAUUAAUACCGUAUACGCCCUACGGGGGAAAGAUUUAUCGGGGAAGGAUUGGCCCGCGUUGGAUUAGCUAGUUGGUGGGGUAAAGGCCUACCAAGGCGACGAUCCAUAGCUGGUCUGAGAGGAUGAUCAGCCACAUUGGGACUGAGACACGGCCCAAACUCCUACGGGAGGCAGCAGGGGGGAAUAUUGGACAAUGGGCGCAAGCCUGAUCCAGCCAUGCCGCGUGAGUGAUGAAGGCCUUAGGGUUGUAAAGCUCUUUCACCGAUGAAGAUAAUGAGGGAAGUCGGAGAAGAAGCCCCGGCUAACUUCGU
This 430-nucleotide ribosomal RNA is filed under the name uncultured bacterium. RNAcentral describes it as "partial 16S ribosomal RNA". It matches the Rfam family "Bacterial small subunit ribosomal RNA", at positions 29 to 506 of the family's 1533-position model. The record is from RNAcentral.